GUAAGUGAAAACACACUAAUUCAUGCACAUGCACACCUUAGGUGAAAAAACAUAUGGCAAGUACGUAUUUCAUAGAAGGACCAAUGGGUUCAUGUUCCCAGAAUGUGCGAGUCCAAACUCCAUGAAAAAAUUCUUAAGUCAGCAAAUCCAGUUUUCCCAAAAGUCUAGCUGCCAAGAACAAAAAGGCUUAAAUAACAGUCACGAGGCUGUCAGCCAAGGGAACAGCUAACGCCUGGAUAGAGGUAUAGUGUAAUUUUAAUCCUGUGAAACUUGCUGGUCAUUUGAAAUUCAGAUAUUGCAGCAGUGUGAAUGUUGACAUGAUCAGACAGCCCAUCGAAUCUAUGAUUGACAGAUGUGUGGCUGCUGGAGCAUGGCUGAGAGAAAGAGGAAAAAAGAGACAAGCAAAGAAGGGAUCGUCUAUAGUGAAAUGUGAGCGAAUAACAGGAACUAACUUAUUUUGUAGACAUUCCUCAGCAUGAACCAAUAUUUUAACAAACAAUUUAAAAGUAUAAUUGAGUUGAACAUUUGUAAUUACUGUAAAAUUUCUGUAGUCUAAGUGGCAUGAAAUGCUUUGAGAAUGCUUGAGACCUGCUGCUAUAGGGGAAAGAAGUCAACUUCAGAGACAUUUCAGUAACUUGCUGUAUCACACCAAGCCAUUAUUGAUUAUUUUUCUGUAACAGCACAUGCCUUGUCAUCUUUUAUUCCGUAUGUAGUUGUAGCUACGGUAGGGCUUCUUGGGAAUACAACAAAAUGAAAAAUUCAGUACGCCUAUGUAAAGGAUACAACCUGGACUCUAUUGAAGUGAGCUGAAUGUGAUGACUCGGACACAGAAGCCAGAAUUUUUGAAUAGCAUGAAGAUAGCAUUUUGGUAUUAUAUACAAAUCCCAGAUAUACAGUAAGUCUCAUCAACACAGCCUUAUUGCUAAACAGUUGUUAUACCAUAAUUAUGUGUGUGUGCUCACAGCUUGAUGUGAAGCACAAUAAGAUUUUAUGUUAGCAAAGGCUGCCAGUUCCUAGUGCAAUUUCCAAGUGAUUUAGUAUACGCAGAGGCUCUCCUUAGCCAAGAAUAACUGUCCUUGCUGGAUCCCAAGAACAGAUGUUCGGCCAAGGACGUCCAGUACCUGCAUUUUUCAAAAUAGUUGUAAAGUAAGUAUCUGUGUGAUUUGUCUACUUGGCUUUAGCCGUGGCUCAGAUAUAAUUCAUGUGCGUGUUAAGCGGUCAGAGUUCACACACUUCCCAGUGUCAAUGUAUGUGUUUGUCAGUAAAAAUGCAGUAAAUGUAUAAACAAAAGGAAACUUGCAAGUCAUCUCCAAUCGCAACAUUUCUACUGUACCUAUAUAUCGUUAGAUCUUUCCAACCUUGGCUAGAUUCUGCCUCGGGCUGUCCUGCAAACGUCUCUGUCAGCCAAUCUCUCACUCACACUUUACCUGUCAGAUAGCUGGCAAGUGCACAUUUGUCAUCCUGCCAAGAUUCCUCCCCCUCCAUAUCUCUUCCUUUGUUCAUCCACUCCCUCGCCUCUGCACUACCACUAUCCCUGGCAGUGAAUUAUAGUUCAAUUAACCUUUUUUUUUCCCUGCCAAUGCCCGCUGCUACUGACAACCACAGCAUGAAACAAGACUGACAUUCACAUGGUUUCACUUCACUAUUUACCUUUUUUUUUUAUAUUUUCAAAUUGGAUUACACCAAAUAAAUGAGGUUACUGAACCACUGCACCAUGGGAAGCCCAAAGUCAGUUUCGGAUUUGUAUGUUUUUGUACCCAGUGUUCUUGUAGAAUCCAUAGUGGCAGAAAUUUUACAGAAAAUGUGUCUCUCAUAACGGCAGUUAACCUCUUUAAUAGUCAUGAUAAUCUAUAGCAUACAUCAUGCAUGGCUUGUUUUAACUACACGUUAUUGAAGUCAGUGAAAUAUCAAUUUAGGAAGUAAAUCUCUGUGGGAACAAAUGUAGAAGUUCUCCACAACGUGCUCACUUUAUGGAUGGUUAGAUGCCACAUGGUUCAGUAAAGGUGAUCUAUGCAAUUAUCGUUCAAUUCAAAUCAAUUUUAUUUCAUAGAGCUCUUUGAACAAUAGACAUUGUCAGAAAACAGCUUUAGAGAAAUCUAUAUCCUUAAUAAAGUGACGGUGACAUGGGAAACUCCCUUGAGGAGGAAACCUUGAAAGGAAACAGUCAAAAGUCUUUAUUCCUAUUCUCUUAUAAAUGAUACUGCCUAGUGGGAUUAUAAAUCAUUGCUCUCCUUCAACUGUAUAUCCCAGGCAGGGAACCAACCCGGGCACCGAGGGGUCAACUCUCAGUGCCGAUCCCGAGCCCGGAAAAUACGGAAGGCUUGCGGCAGGAAAGGCACGUAAAACCUGUGCCAAAUCAAAUAUGCGGAUCAGUUAAUCCACUGUGAUGACCCUUAAAGGAGCACUCAAAGAGCAACAACAAAAACGACACUUAUACCGCUGUAUAUUAACAGUCAAAGUUCUCAGAGGAGCACAGAACAAUCUUCAGGAUUAGAGCAGCAGUUUUUGGGUGAAAAUCCAACUACCAAGUUAAGACCCAGCAGUAGAAGUGUGUCCAGGUCCACUAAGUACAGAUACAUAUGCUUGUGUCAUACAACCACUAGAUAUGCUUGUCCAUACAGACGUGUAAAAGGGCAAAUUUUGUCAUUAAACAGAGAUUUGGGAGGUCUUGAUAUAACAGCAUAUCUAAAAAAAAAUCUACAUGCAUAACCGUGGACAUUGUCAUCAGUGUAUUUUAUUGUCCAUGUCUUCUAGGUUUCUUAUUUUCUACUUGCACAUAGAAGUUUCACAACCGAUGAGACGUAAAGUACGGUCUAAAUAAAAAACAACUUGAGUAUGAACAUACAGCUAUAUCCAAAAUACACAAAGCACAGCCCAAGCUCUUAACACAGCCCAUAACCUUUGCUGAUUGCAAUUCUCUGACAUGAAUGUGUCUAUUACUUUGGGCUGCUCGCUCCAAGAUUCUCUGCCAACUGUUUUAUGUCAGUGCCCACUGUGUUUUCCCAGCCCUGGAGGCAGAGGUGGUGGUCUUUGUUAAAGCUUUUGUUUGAGGCUAGUGGGUGGGCGGUAGGAGGCGAUGCCAAGUAGAGAGGCUCUAUCAGCUCAGACAGUGUCUGGGAAACAAAUCUGUUUUCGCUAACCUCAAAGCGAUAGCAAUUCUAUAUGACCAUAGCUUUGAUGUAGCUAAAUCCGAAUACAUUAUUCAGAAAAAGCAGAUAAUGUCAAUACUGAUACACAAUAAAAAGUUGCACAUGUCAGAGGUUUUUAUUUUCACGUGGUUAUAAGUGGGUGGUCAGUUCUAAACUGUCUGCACAGGAAUAAAGAGUUGAGAUCAGUUCAGAACUGGAUUGAACUGGAAUUGUUUGUUUCAUGAAGCAAAAUUUUAUAAUCUGGAAAAGUUAAGUGAUACUUAAACAUCAGAACCGUCCAAGAUAUUAAUAGAAACAAAUAAUACGAUACACACAAAACUUGGCAUAAUCAGGCCACUGAAACACGAAGAACAUGAAAGUUGUGAAAGUUCUUCAACUAGGUCUGAUAUCAACCACAUAGAUUUCUCCAGAUACACUUCAGGGCUGCAUGUGUACUGUACUGUAUCACCAAAAACCCUACUAGGUACAUCGAUUUCUCUUUAGAGCUUUAAAUAUUGCUCAAUAAAACCUAUUUAUGAUUCCACAUGCUGUCAAAACAUAGCUGCAAGUCAGUCUGUUCUAGACCUGGGCCUAUGGCAUGUCUAGGUUUUUUUUUUUUUUUACCAUAAUUAAAGUACAGAACAGCAUCUUUACAUAUUUUCUCUGCCUUGAAGCUCUGGAGUUCAUUCUCAUUGAGUAACUCUAAUGAGAAUCAGCCAUUUGUAAUUAGCAGUGGAAAACACCACACUGUUUAAGGAGAUUAAGGGACAAAGUAGUUGACAAAGAUGAUGAAGUUUUUGGUUUUUGGGAGUAGUGGAUGAAGUAAACCCUUCAAACCCUUCAGUUCAUUGAUUUGAUUAGUAUUUCAUUAUUUAUAAAUACAUAAUGCAUUAGUUCAUACUGUAAUGUGGCUCUUGAUUAUCCUUACCUAAUAUUCUCUCUCUCUCUCUCUCUCUCUCUCUCUCUCUCUCUCUCUCUCUCUCUCUCUCUCUCUCUCUCUCUCUCUCUCUCUCU
Tachysurus fulvidraco (yellow catfish) is the source of this 4142-nucleotide long non-coding RNA. RefSeq lists it as uncharacterized. NCBI's taxonomy places the organism in Eukaryota, Metazoa, Chordata, Actinopteri, Siluriformes, Bagridae. The transcript has 2 exons. The record is from RefSeq and is a predicted model, not a curated record.